Long non-coding RNA from Drosophila serrata, 1035 nucleotides. RefSeq lists it as uncharacterized. The record is from RefSeq and is a predicted model, not a curated record. Lineage: Eukaryota; Metazoa; Arthropoda; Insecta; Diptera; Drosophilidae.
ACGAUUUUAGUUGAGCCAAAGGCUUUCAGCAGUUAGUAGCCCAAAAAAUUGUGUCUUCCCCAGCGGACAGAAAAAAGCAAAAGCAAAUUCAAUCAAUAUGAGCGAAGCCCAGAAUCUGUUUACCACCUUCGGCAUCCUGGCCAUCCUCCUUUUCUUCCUUUACAUCAUCUAUGCCGUAUUGUAGAAUGUUAGGUCCUGCAGGAGGUCCUUAGAGCAGGAUCCAAGCAACCAGCAGCAGCCAACGCAUCCAAAAUGAAUGAAGCCAGAAGUCUGAUCACCACCUUCGCCAUCCUGGCCUUCCUGCUGUUCCUGCUCUAUGCCUUCUACGAGGCCGCCUUCUAGACCACAAGCCACCCCCUCACCACCCACCCAUCAAUCAAUCAGUCAAUCAAGGAUAGCUUACAUGUUGAAUUUCAAUUCCAAGUCCCGCCACAUCGUGUCCAGCCUUAACAUCCGGUGGCCUAUGGCGGGGCUUUUAGGACCCUCUACGCGUUUAAGAUGUUUAGCAUUUAAUGGAUUUCUACUAGUAACCUAAGCCAGAUGACGUCAAAGCCACCAGCUGCUACCAGAUCGGAGGCUCGCCGGCAUUAUAUUAGGAUCAUGAUCACGAUCACUUAGGUGAUCGAUGGACAACCCCUGCCGAGUGUGCUGCGCUAGAUUUCCACCAUCCAUCGAGGCGCUGCAAGACCGAUCCAUCCGAUUCCGCGGUGAUCUGCUGCCGAGGCCUUGGCGUCAUCUGUUCUAAUCAUACAUUUUAGUUUUGUGAUUUCUUCAUUUUUGUUUCGCAAUGGAAUUCACAUAGUUUGCAAAUUUAUAGACCAUGAUGUACAGUAUAAGCAAAACAGCAGCAAAUCAAUGUGAGAGAUCAGAAAAUUGGUUAUUUCAUUGUUGGACAAAACAAGUUUAGUUCGCAUUCAUAUUUAGUAAGACAUACAUAAUGUAUAACUGCAUUUUACCCCACUCUUUUCUUUUAAUUUUAUGUGACUAAAAACACAUGCAGAACAACAGCAAAACAAACAACAUCAACUGCAGGAA